UGCCUGUGGGGAUCAGAUUGUUCGUAUCUGCUGCCCAUUCAGAUUCUGAUCUGCUCAAGGCAAGUGAAUCCUUGAAGAGGGUUUCAGCGUCGGUGCUGACGAAACAAUAAUUGAAUGCUGUGCAUCUGGUUGGUCUCGUUUCUUGCCUCUGAGCUGCAUUAGAUUUUAUCCUUGAAGAGGGUUUCAGCGUCGGUGCUGACGAAACAAUAAUUGAAUGCUGUGCAUCUGGUUGGUCUCGUUUCUUGCCUCUGAGCUGCAUUAGAUUUUUCUCGUGGCACUCAUCCAUCAUAUCCUCUUCAGAUCCAAGUCAAGGAAGAAUUUUUGUGUGAGAAGCCAGUGGAUGUUGAUAGUUUAUAAAAUUAUAUUGGGAUUAUUUGAGUUUCAACAGAUCAGCA
RNAcentral lists this long non-coding RNA (395 nucleotides) under Populus trichocarpa (black cottonwood). RNAcentral describes it as "long non-coding RNA (PTRI_LNC003417)". The record is from RNAcentral. Lineage: Eukaryota; Viridiplantae; Streptophyta; Magnoliopsida; Malpighiales; Salicaceae.